Molecule: ribosomal RNA, 1519 nt
Filed under: Clostridioides difficile
Lineage: Bacteria; Bacillati; Bacillota; Clostridia; Peptostreptococcales; Peptostreptococcaceae
Description: partial 23S ribosomal RNA
Rfam family: Bacterial large subunit ribosomal RNA
Source: RNAcentral
ACCACAGAAGGUAAUAGUCCUGUAUGUUAAACGAGAAGACUUUAGAUAUGAUCCAGAGUACCACGGGACACGUGAAACCCUGUGGGAAGCAGGAGGGACCACCCUCCAAGGCUAAAUACUACCUAGUGACCGAUAGCGUAUAGUACCGUGAGGGAAAGGUGAAAAGAACCCCGGGAGGGGAGUGAAAUAGAACCUGAAACCCUGCACUUACAAGCUGUGGAAGCACAUUUCUUGUGUGACCGCGUACUUUUUGUAGAACGGGCCAACGAGUUACGUUAAGUAGCAAGGUUAAGCACUUAAGGUGUGGAGCCGUAGCGAAAGCGAGUUUUAACUGAGCGUUCAGUUACUUGACGUAGACCCGAAACCGGGCGACCUACCCAUGAGCAGGAUGAAGCGAAAGUAAAAUUUCGUGGAGGUCCGAACCCACGAGCGUUGAAAAGCUCGGGGAUGACUUGUGGGUAGCGGUGAAAUUCCAAUCGAGCCCGGAGAUAGCUGGUUCUCCCCGAAAUAGCUUUAGGGCUAGCCUCAAGGUGAGAGAUACGGAGGUAGAGCACUGAAUGUCCUAGGGGGUAUUGCACCUACCGAAGACUAUCAAACUCCGAAUGCCGUCAUCUUAUACUUGGGAGUCAGACUGUGGGUGAUAAGAUUCAUAGUCGAAAGGGCAACAGCCCAGAUCGUCAGCUAAGGUCCCUAAAUGUAAGUUAAGUGGUAAAGGAUGUGGGAUUGCACAGACAACCAGGAUGUUGGCUUAGAAGCAGCCACUCAUUCAAAGAGUGCGUAAUAGCUCACUGGUCGAGUGAUCCUGCGCCGAAGAUUUCCGGGGCUAAAACUUACUACCGAAGCUACGGCAUCAUUAUGAUGGGUAGGGGAGCUUCCCAUACGGGUUGAAGCAUGACCGUAAGGACAUGUGGACAGUAUGGGAGUGAGAAUGUUGGCAUGAGUAGCGAGAUGUGGGUGAGAAUCCCACAGGCCGUAAACCCAAGGUUUCCAGGGGAAGGUUCGUCCGCCCUGGGUUAGUCGGGACCUAAGCUGAGGCCGAAAGGCGUAGGUGAUGGACAACAGGUUGAUAUUCCUGUACUACCGAUAACCGUUUGAGAGAUGGGAUGACACAGUAGGAUAAGCUAAGCACACUGUUGGUUAUGUGUGCCCAAGCAUUGAGGCAGUCAAAGUAGGCAAAUCCGCUUUGAUAAUGCUGGGAUGUGAUGGGUAGCGAAAUUUAGUAGCGAAGUAGCUGAUUUCACACUGUCAAGAAAAGUCUCUAUCGAGGUUAAAGGUACCCGUACCGCAAACCGACACAGGUGGGUGAGGAGAGUAUCCUAAGGCCAGCGAGAGAACUGUUGUUAAGGAACUCGGCAAAAUGACCCCGUAACUUAGGGAUAAGGGGUGCCACCAUCAGGUGGCCGCAGAGAAUAGGCCCAAGCGACUGUUUACCAAAAACAUAGGUUUCUGCUAAGUCGCAAGACGAUGUAUAGGAGCUGACGCCUGCCCGGUGCUGGAAGGUUAAGGGGAUCUGUUAGAG